Molecule: long non-coding RNA, 309 nt
Filed under: Strongylocentrotus purpuratus (purple sea urchin)
Lineage: Eukaryota; Metazoa; Echinodermata; Echinoidea; Camarodonta; Strongylocentrotidae
Description: uncharacterized LOC115921737, transcript variant X1
Source: RNAcentral
CAGAUUUCUUAUGGGUUAGCUACGAUGGAAUGGACAGUGCUGAUGUGUACCUCAGUUACUUUGCAGGAAGAACUUGUGGCCUGUGUGGAUCCUUUGAUGGAGACCAGAACAAUGAUUGAUACUUCCUUCAGGAGAAUUGGCAAGAUCAGCAACUGAGUUUGGAAACAGCUGGGUUGCGUACCCUGACCAAUGUGAUGGUGUGGAUCCAGGUCCAACUGACCCUUGUGAGGAUGGAGUGAACAGCUUGUCUGCAUCCAACGAUCUGUGCUAUUAUUUGAAGGAUCCUUCCGGACCAUUUGAAUCCUGCUU